This 87-nucleotide transfer RNA is filed under the name Planctomycetaceae bacterium. RNAcentral's name for it is "tRNA-Ser". It matches the Rfam family "tRNA". From Rfam's summary of the family: Transfer RNA (tRNA) molecules are approximately 80 nucleotides in length. Their secondary structure includes four short double-helical elements and three loops (D, anti-codon, and T loops). Lineage: Bacteria; Pseudomonadati; Planctomycetota; Planctomycetia; Planctomycetales; Planctomycetaceae. The record is from RNAcentral.
GGAUGGGUGGCCGAGUGGUCGAAGGCACCGGUCUUGAAAACCGGCGUACUCGCAAGGGUACCGUGGGUUCGAAUCCCACCCCAUCCG